RNAcentral lists this long non-coding RNA (496 nucleotides) under Equus caballus (horse). Its description in RNAcentral is "lncRNA (ENSECAG00000040612.3)". The record is from RNAcentral. Lineage: Eukaryota; Metazoa; Chordata; Mammalia; Perissodactyla; Equidae.
UGAGAAUGAUGAAUGCUUCAACUCUGGAGUUUCGUAGGGAGAUGGUGCUGGAGUAUAAAAACUGGCAAAUGUAGCCUCAGCUCCAAAGGAUUGAACUUGAGAAGAUCCAACCAGUCUGUCAAAGGAGUAACAAAUUUGCAAAGUCUUUCGCUAGAAUUGAAAACAAAUAGAGAAAUUCACUGUGAACACGUACACGCUGAUACCAUGGGUGCCCGUUGCAUCUUAAGAAGGCUCCUGAUGCCUCCAAGGAGUGAAGAGAUUUGCUCAAGGCCAGCCCAGCACCUAGUUUAUUACAGAACUAGAAUUAGAACCCGGGUUUUAUGAAGUCUCAGGCAAGCAAGAGCUCUUCAACGUCAGAAUGCUUCCUCCCGUUCUCCAGUAAUGAUUAUGAAACAUACAUUUCUCUUUGAUUCCCAGAAAUUUCCCCCUAUGGCUAACACAGUUUUACUUGAUAUGUGAGAACAUAGCACAAAAUAAAAGUUGCAUUGAGUCACAG